GCCGGGCGUGGUGGCUCACGCCUGUAAUCCCAGCACUUUGGGAGGCCGAGGCGGGUGGAUCACCUGAGGUCAGGAGUUCGAGACCAGCCUGGCCAACAUGGUGAAACCCCGUCUUUA
RNAcentral lists this signal recognition particle RNA (117 nucleotides) under Nomascus leucogenys (northern white-cheeked gibbon). RNAcentral's name for it is "Metazoan signal recognition particle RNA". It matches the Rfam family "Metazoan signal recognition particle RNA". From Rfam's summary of the family: The signal recognition particle (SRP) is a universally conserved ribonucleoprotein. It is involved in the co-translational targeting of proteins to membranes. Lineage: Eukaryota; Metazoa; Chordata; Mammalia; Primates; Hylobatidae. The record is from Rfam by way of RNAcentral.